CCUACGGGUGGCAGCAGUGGGGAAUAUUGCACAAUGGGCGCAAGCCUGACCCAGCAACGCCGCGUGGAGGAAGAAGGCUUUCGGGUUGUAAACUUCUUUUAUCAGGGACGAAGCAAGUGACGGUACCUGAUGAAUAAGCCACGGCUAACUACGUGCCAGCAGCCGCGGUAAUACGUAGGGGGCAAGCGUUAUCCGGAUUUAGUGGGUGUAAAGGGAGUGUAGGCGGGGAAGCAAGUCAGAUGUGAAAACCAUGGGCCCAACCUGGGGCCUGCAUUUGAAACUGUGUUUCUUGAGUGCUGGAGAGGCAGACGGAAUUCCUAGUGUAGCGGUGAAAUGCGUAGAUAUUAGGAGGAACACCAGUGGCGAAGGCGGUUUACUGGACAGCAACUGACGCUGAGGCGCGAAAGCGUGGGGAGCAAACAGGAUUAGAUACCCGGGUAGUC
Molecule: ribosomal RNA, 443 nt
Filed under: uncultured bacterium
Lineage: Bacteria
Description: partial 16S ribosomal RNA
Rfam family: Bacterial small subunit ribosomal RNA
Source: RNAcentral